AACGUAGGACACAAGCGUUAUCCGGAGUUACUGGGCGUAAAGGGCGUGUAGGCGGGUGAUUAAGUUCGCUAUGAAAGCGCCAGGCUAAACCUGGCGAGGCUGGCGGAUACUGGUCAUCUGGAGUAAGGGAGAGGGAGGUAGAAUUCCGCGUGUAGUGGUGAAAUGCGUAGAGAUGCGGAGGAAUACCAGUGGCGAAGGCGGCCUCCUGGCCCUUAACUGACGCUGAAGCGCGAAAGCGUGGGGAGCAAAC
This 250-nucleotide ribosomal RNA is filed under the name uncultured bacterium. RNAcentral's name for it is "partial 16S ribosomal RNA". It matches the Rfam family "Bacterial small subunit ribosomal RNA", at positions 524 to 773 of the family's 1533-position model. The record is from RNAcentral.